This 443-nucleotide ribosomal RNA is filed under the name uncultured Armatimonadota bacterium. RNAcentral's name for it is "bacterial SSU rRNA". It matches the Rfam family "Bacterial small subunit ribosomal RNA", at positions 338 to 795 of the family's 1533-position model. The record is from RNAcentral. Lineage: Bacteria; Bacillati; Armatimonadota.
CCUACGGGGGGCUGCAGUGAGGAAUCUUGCGCAAUGGGCGAAAGCCUGACGCAGCGACGCCGCGUGACUGAUGAAGUCUUUCGGGAUGUAAAGGUCUUUUGUGGGGGACGAAGGAAGUGACGGUACCCCACGAAUAAGCCCCGGCUAACUACGUGCCAGCAGCCGCGGUAAUACGUAGGGGGCGAGCGUUGUCCGAAUUCACUGGGCGUAAAGCGCGCGUAGGCGGACGCUUAAGUUGUGGGUGAAAUCCCGAGGCUCAACCUCGGAGCUGCCUGCAAAACUGGGUGUCUGGAGGUAUGGAGAGGGAAGUGGAAUUCCAGGUGUAGCGGUGAAAUGCGUAGAUAUCUGGAGGAACACCCGUGGCGAAGGCGGCUUCCUGGCCAUAUCCUGACGCUGAGGUGCGAAAGCUAGGGGAGCGAACGGGAUUAGAUACCCCGGUAGUC